Dermacentor albipictus is the source of this 2331-nucleotide non-coding RNA. The record is from RefSeq and is a predicted model, not a curated record. Lineage: Eukaryota; Metazoa; Arthropoda; Arachnida; Ixodida; Ixodidae.
GGAAUGCCUGAAGGCUUGCAAAGGUUGCUGGGUUGGUGUGCUCCACGCUCUCACACGCUCAGUUCGCGCGCUCUCUUUGAACGUGGUGGUUGUAUCGUUGUGCCAUGUGCUCAUGAGUUCCAGGGUGAGCGUUGGUCAGCUCCAGGUGAACGUUUUUGUCAUGCGCUUUGGAGCUCCAUUUCUGCGGCGCCUGUACGUCUUACGCCUAUCAAGAGCCAUGCUGUGUUCCUGCCAUGAGCCUGGUGUCACUUUGAGUCGACAUCAUUCUUCGUUGAUGACCAGCACAGAAACAAGCCCACGGAAAUCUGCUAACCUUCUUAGUACCUCUGGUCUCAGCAAUGUAUUUUCUUGUUUGCGACCACUGGAACCGAUCCUUCAGGAUUACUAGUAAAUUGUGUAGCGUACCCCGGAUCUCUUCUGUUCUGCAUCUGAAACUAUGGACGAAAGACUUCACCCAGCGUGUGGCGACUUCCUUAUGGGCUGAUAUACCUGUGAACUCUGGGUUACUUUUUGUCUCUGGGACUGUUCAAGCAAGCCCACAGAAAUGCCCCACUAAAUUUCUUAGUACACGUGAACUGCAAUGUAGUUGUCUUCGACCGCUGAGCCAGCCUGCAGUGAGCCUUAGUAAAAUGUUUAGUCGCCAAGAUACCUGCAAUCUUUUCACAAGUAUUUGUAUCUGCUGCCAUGGAAGAACAGCCACGCUCUGCCUCUGGUAACUUCCAUCGAGGCUGUCUGACACCCGUGAAUUUUUAGGAUGAAAUUGUGUUUUUGUGUGGCCGCUGAAGCAAGCCCACACAAAUCCUCUAUUAGCUUUUCAUAUGAGUGAACUCAUAUAAUGCUGAAGCGAUCAUGCUGCAAGCUUUUAGUUAAUUGUGUAAUCGCCAGGGUACCUGUGACGUUUCAGCAAUAUUUGGCUGUGGCCACGGAGAGGUCACAUUCAGCUUCUGUUUACUUGCUUAGAGGCCUUCAAGCCUCUAAGCAAGUAAACAGAAGCAGAAGAAACAGAAACACAAAUUCACUUAUGGUGAAUUUAUGUUUGUGACCACUCAAGUGCAGCAAGUGUCUUGUAACUCUAGUACUUGUGACAUCAGUUUGGUAUUGUGUUGAAGCAAGUGUCUUGUAACUGCUUUUGUAUCUGUGAACUCUCCAGUAAUGUUCGUGUUUGCAACUGCUUAAGUGAUCCUUGAGUAAUUUUUUUAAUGCCCAGUGUGUCUAUAAAAUAUGUAGUACUUCUACUGUGUGCAACCGCUGAAGGAGGCCUGCAGAAAGUGGAGUAGCUUCCGUCAUGGCUAAGACACCUCUGAACUUUCCAGUAAAUAUUGUAUUUAUGGGCCCGCGACCGUUGAAGUGAGCCAGCCCACAGUAGCCCUCCUACUAACUUCCUUUGUACCCCCCACCCUUGCAUAGGGCUUUUGAAGUUCUUUUACUGGCCGAGGUGCAUCUGCGAAUUAUUAGCUCAACUGAAAUGGUCUUGUCACUACACACGAAAGUGUCGAUGUUUGCUCUGGUUACCUUUGCCAGAACUUGUUAUGGAUGCACAGUGCAUUUGCUCUACACUCUAAGAACAGUUGCACCCUUUGGGGUGUAAAUUUGCGACAGAACAAUAAUCGUCAUCUGUCUUACUUGCCUUUCCUUUCUUGAAAACCCUGCGCUCAUUACUUUCCUGUCGAGAAUGCUCUGUCAUGCUGAUAAUGCGCAUGCCGUUCGUGACAUGGAAGUACUGGGCUUGCAGCGUUAAAGAAAGGAAAUGCAGGCAAGUCAGAUGACGAUUAUUGUUCUGUGGAAAAUAUACACCCCAAAGGGUGCAACUGUUUUUAGAGUGUAAAUGGAUGAUCAUACAGCAGCUGUUUGUCUAUAUAUGACCACUGAACUAGCCUCGAGUAAUUUUGUUAAUUGCCUAAUGUAGUUGUGACAUCUUAAUUUAGCAUACCUCGUGUUUGUGUAUGUAACUACUGAAUAUGGCCUAGGGAAAGGCUCUGGCAACUUAAAGUGGCUAACAUAUCUAAACAUUUCAGCAAAUUUUUCAUUGAUGUGCCUGCGACCACGACAGUGAGCCCACAGCAAGCCUUGUGAUAAGUUCCAUAGUGGCCCCACUGCGAAUUCUUAAAUUUUCUUGCUACCCAAAGUGCAUUUGUAAAGAGUUUGAAUAAUGUGCACGUUUACUAACCAUGGUGCGGUAUAAAUAACUCCUAAUAGCUGAACUUGUAUGAUGAAAUUAUCGAGUUUUAUUUGCAUUGAUGGGUUUUACUAAAAACUGUUAGUGCAUUUUAGAGUUCAACGAGUGAUCUUCCUGCAACUGUUCUAUUGAAAUAAAUGCUGUAUUUUUAAUGA